ACUAUGCCUAGUCGUAAACUUUAACUUACCCCUCAAUCGCCCGGGAACUACGAGCUAAGCUUAAAACCCAAAGGACUUGACGGUACCCCACAUCCCCCUAGAGGAGCCUGUCCUAUAAUCGAUAACCCCCGCUUAACCUCACCAUUUUUUGCUAAUCAGCCUGUAUACCUCCGUCGUCAGCUUACCACGUGAGCGUCAGUGAGCUUAAUGUUUUUCCAACUAUACGUCAGGUCAAGGUGCAACAAAUAAAAUGGAAAGAGAUGGGCUACACUUUCUACCAUAGAAUAAACGAAAGACUAAAUGAAACCUAGUCAGAAGGCGGAUUUAGCAGUAAGGUGAAACUAGAGCGUUCACUUAAAUACGGCACUGGGGUGUGUACACACCGCCCGUCACCCUCCUCAACUCUGCAUUAAAGUUAUUUAACACCUUCUCAGAGACUCAGAAGAGGCAAGUCGUAACACGGUAAG
Molecule: ribosomal RNA, 467 nt
Filed under: Ameerega trivittata (three-striped poison frog)
Lineage: Eukaryota; Metazoa; Chordata; Amphibia; Anura; Dendrobatidae
Description: partial 12S ribosomal RNA
Rfam family: Bacterial small subunit ribosomal RNA
Source: RNAcentral